UUGGCGGACGGGUGAGUAACGCGUAAGAACCUACCUUUAGGAGGGGACAACAGCUGGAAACGACUGCUAAUACCCCAUAUGCUGAGGAGUGAAAUGGUGUAACAACCGCCUAAAGAUGGGCUUGCGUCUGAUUAGCUUGUUGGUAAGGUAAAGGCUUACCAAGGCAACGAUCAGUAGCUGGUCUGAGAGGAUGAUCAGCCACACUGGAACUGAAACACGGUCCAG
Molecule: ribosomal RNA, 225 nt
Filed under: uncultured bacterium
Lineage: Bacteria
Description: partial 16S ribosomal RNA
Rfam family: Bacterial small subunit ribosomal RNA
Source: RNAcentral